RNAcentral lists this ribosomal RNA (716 nucleotides) under Cornus controversa. RNAcentral describes it as "eukaryotic LSU rRNA". The stretch from base 274 to 429 matches the Rfam family "5.8S ribosomal RNA". The record is from RNAcentral. Lineage: Eukaryota; Viridiplantae; Streptophyta; Magnoliopsida; Cornales; Cornaceae.
UCCGUAGGUGAACCUGCGGAAGGAUCAUUGUCGAAACCUGCAACAGCAGAACGACCCGAGAACGUGUUAAAACCACGGCUGGGCGCUCGCGCCACGCCAGCCGGGGGGAAGCGGGCGCCGAUCCCCUCACGGGGCGAGGCGUCCGCGCCCUCCGCGCGAAACAACGAACCCCGGCGCGAACCGCGCCAAGGAACAUGAACGAGAGAGCGAGCCCGCGAGGCCCCGUCCGCGGGCGCGAUCGCGGGCUGGCGUCUUCCUCUACGUAAACAGAACGACUCUCGACAACGGAUAUCUCGGCUCUCGCAUCGAUGAAGAACGUAGUGAAAUGCGAUACUUGGUGUGAAUUGCAGAAUCCCGUGAACCAUCGAGUCUUUGAACGCAAGUUGCGCCCGAAGCCGUCAGGCCGAGGGCACGUCUGCCUGGGCGUCUCACAUCGCGUCGCCCCCCCCCAGCGCACCCCGCGUGUGCCGGAGGGGGCGGACAAUGGCCCCCCGUGCGCCCCGGGCACGCGGUCGGCCCAAAACACGAGUCGCCGGCGACCGACGUCACGACAGGUGGUGGCAGAGAAGCCGCGUGCUUCGAUUCGCGUGCUGUCGUGCCGUCGAAUGCCGGAGAGCUCCAACGACCCUGACGCGCCGUCCUACUCGGCGCAUCGACCGCGACCCCAGGUCAGGCGGGACUACCCGCUGAGUUUAAGCAUAUCAAUAAGCGGAGGA